Etheostoma cragini (Arkansas darter) is the source of this 422-nucleotide long non-coding RNA. RefSeq lists it as uncharacterized. NCBI's taxonomy places the organism in Eukaryota, Metazoa, Chordata, Actinopteri, Perciformes, Percidae. The record is from RefSeq and is a predicted model, not a curated record. The transcript has 2 exons.
CAGUUAGCGGCAGCUACAGCAGCAAAUGGAACAAACCGUCCAAUCAGGGGUGAGAUGUGCUACAGCAGGCGAGAGGAGGCAUAAAAUCAACAACAAAAAAGCUGAACUACUGGGAGACCAGUGACACACCAAAGCGCAUGCAGGAAUCUGCAGCAGCAUGAUGAAACUCCACCUGGAAUUGCACCAAAGAUGGCUGCUGGAUUGACACUAAAACCGAAAACUCUCGUUUGCUGGCGGCAGGAGGCAUGCUGUCCCUUUAAAUGUAAUUAAACUCCAUGGGAAUCUCACGAGACGACAACAAAACACCCCCUUCUUUGAGCUUGCCCAAUGAAAACUGUAUGGAUAUCACUGUAUGGGUUCGAACAGAGCAAUUUCCAAUGUCAAAUCCGUAGUAACAUCAAUAAGGAUAGUUCAUAAAUGAA